Delphinapterus leucas (beluga whale) is the source of this 632-nucleotide non-coding RNA. The record is from RefSeq and is a predicted model, not a curated record. Lineage: Eukaryota; Metazoa; Chordata; Mammalia; Artiodactyla; Monodontidae.
AAAGAGCUGAAUAUAAUGACGAUGCUUCGCUCAUCUUCCAGCUCCCCUUUACAUCGGAAUAUUUAUGCAAGAAUGUGCUUAGAUAAGUAACUUGUGCUGUUUAUAGUAAGAAGUCCAGCUACCCUGAAGCAACCAUUCUAAAGAGACCAUUUUGAGACUGUACCUAAGAGAAAGAUGCCUAAGGAGGGGCUCUUCUAGACGCCUGUUGUUUGAGCUCUCUAAUUAUCAACCUACCAACAUCAAUAGAAGAGACAGACCAUUCUUACAAAACUGGGACUGGUUAACCAUCAUCCCUCCUAUUUUAACGCAAGACCUGGUGGGCGGUUGUCUCCCGUAUGAAAGUUACUGAGCAGACGUGCUGGACUCUGCCAAGACAGAGAGAGAGGGACUGGGAACAGAUGACAAAGGAGUCCCAGCCUACUCCCGAGUGAUGGUCCUUAUAACCAGGAACCCAAAGGUGCUCUUUCCUGCCCUGUCUGAAUGAAUUGGAUCUGCUGGGACGGGACAAAGCAAAGCUGGGCUGCGACUCAGAUCGCAACCCACCUGAAUUUUGGCUGCAAGACAGAGCAAACUUCUCAAGAAGCCAAGGUCAGUGUAUUUACCAUCCACUCACUUCUCUUUUCUAGCUCAGG